UCGGGGGUAGUUCAAUUGGCAGAACACCGGCCUUUGGAGCCGGCUGUUGGAGGUUCGAGCCCUCCCCCCCGAGCCA
Molecule: transfer RNA, 76 nt
Filed under: Acidimicrobiales bacterium
Lineage: Bacteria; Bacillati; Actinomycetota; Acidimicrobiia; Acidimicrobiales
Also listed under: 3 other names
Description: tRNA-Gln
Rfam family: tRNA
About the family: Transfer RNA (tRNA) molecules are approximately 80 nucleotides in length. Their secondary structure includes four short double-helical elements and three loops (D, anti-codon, and T loops).
Source: RNAcentral